AAAUCCCCAGUUGCCUCCAUUUCUAACAGUCUACUUUUCCCGCUCCCAAAAACCCUUUCCCGAACAACCAACCAGUCCCUCUACCCGAACAACUCGAAAUGGACAUCACGUAGAUAAACUGGCGUCGAUGCUGGAGUGGAGGCCAAAGAUUGCAUCAAGAUUUACCUGGUUUCUAGCAAAGAAGAGGUGGGCGCGCGCUUCAAACAGUUUUUGUUUAGAUCCAGUUGACUUGAAUAACUUUUUGAGGGAGAUGGGAAGAUAUAUGGUUACAAAGGAUUGAAGAUUACCAUAUGGGUUAGCAGUAUAUCAUUUGAUGCAUAUGCUGAUAUUGCAUUUGAGAGCACAGCUGAUGCAGGCAAACGGAUCACAGAUUUGAAAUCAGCUCUUGAUCGUAUGGAUUGAUUACCAGUUUAUAUCACCAGUUCAGUUUACUAUGUUGUUGUUAGUUCUAAUGAUUAGUUGCUAGUGUUCUCCAGAAAGUUUUUGGUGAGACCCUUGUUGACAGUCAAGAGGAGAGUUCCUUCAAACCGUUUCAGCUCAGAGAAAUUUCAUUUAGUAAUGGAUUGUGGAUUCGUAUAUUCAGAUCAAAUAUAAGUUUAUACUCAUGAUUUUCAGUUUUUUGUUUUAUACUUGUCUCCAUGAGUUUCUUCUUUGAAAUGUUUGCAGAUCCAUUAUCUCAGAUGGGGAGGUGUUGCAGCACAAGGCUUCAUCUACUUCUGAUGUAGAGGUGUUUUUUUAUUGCCAAACUUUUCUCUGUCAUAGAUAAAAAGCAGAAGUUUGUCUUGCAUUUGUUAACAGCAUUUCAGGUUAUUCGCAUGGUUGUGGGCAAGACAGCUGCUGGACCCCUUUACAGUCACUUGAUUCAUCUUGUUGAUGGUGCCAGUCCAAUUGAUCUUCUGGAUCCAAGUUGGGAGUUGUAUCUCCUGGUCGAGAAGAAAACAGAUGAGCAAGGGGGCAUCUACAAUAUAUUGCUUGGCUUUACAGCUCUGUAUCGUUUUUAUCAUUAUCCUGACAGUUCUCGGUUGCGACUUAGCCAGAUCCUGGUAUUGCCUCCUUACCAGCAUAAGGGUUAUGGACGGUACAUUCUAGAAGUUCUCAAUCAUGUUGCAGUAUCAGAAGACAUCUAUGACUUCACAGUAGAAGAACCAUUGGACUAAUUUCAACAUGUACGCACUUGUGUUGAUGUACUACGCCUUCAGAAAUUAGAUUCUGUUUGCAAUGCAGUCAAUUUGGCUGUUUCAAAUCUGACACGAGGAAAACUGUCAAAGAAAACGAGCAUCCCUCGACUGAUGCCAGCCACAAGAGUCAUUGAGGAUGUGAAGAAAAGGUUGAAAAUCAACAAGAAACAAUUUCUUCAAUGUUGGGAUGUUUUCACCUAUCUUGGCCUCGAUCCAGUGGACAAGUACAUGGAGGAUUUUGUGAGCAUUGUUUCUAAUCGGAUGAAGGAAGAUCUCAUAGGAAAAGAAUAUGGGACUGGUGGGAAGCAAGUAAUUGAAGUUCCAAGCGAGUACAUACCGGAGAUGUCAUUUGUUAUGUUCAAGUCCAAUGCAGGUGAAGCUACUAGUACUGUUCAGGUAGAUGAAAAUCAACCAAAUCAGGAGGAGCAACUCCAGCAGUUGGUUAAUGAGAGAGUGAAUGAGAUCAAAUCAAUAGCAGAUAAAGUAUCUCAGCAUUGCAUAAGCAUUGUGGAGUCAUCUUAAUGGAGUCUGAUUUUCGGUGCCUUUGCAUGUGAUACCUUAAUGCAACUGUAGGUUUGGAGUGGUCGGGACUUAGGUUGCGGGAUACAGAGGCUUGCGUUGUAAUUGAGCUCUAUGCUUGUACUGUGUUAUUUUUGAAUAUUUUAAGAACUCUUACUUUUCAAGAAAUUCAGCAGCUAAUGCUUUUCCCUCUUUAAUUAGUUACCCUUUCUGUUGUUAUUUCAAAAAGAGAAGUUGUUUUGAUAGCUACUGUUGGAGCCAGGAGCCAUAAAAUGGCCCCUAGAGAUUAGUGACAGUUUGCUCGUCUCUAGUUUCUCUUAUCCAAGUACAGUAGGUCAGUAGCUGAUAAGAGUAGUCUCGGUAGUCAGCCCGGCCUCGAAAUACAGUAUAGACUAGUGAAAGUAAGUAAUUCUGUCACGAAUUUUUACCUCUAGUUUGCUAAAAAUGCCUUCUUAUCUUUGCCUUAUUUGUUCUCUGUAGUAUCUUUUCUUUCAUAUGUUUACAGUUCAAGACCGUCAAAAAAUCUUUCAUAUCCAUAUCAACUACACUAACUUCCAAUGAAUUUUCAUGAGGAGUAUCUUUCAUUUUGUAGAAGCCCAUUUUUACUAAUAAUUUUGUAUAUAAUAUUAUAUAAAUUAUUAAUUAUAGCAAGUAGUAUGUUAAAAAACUAGAGUAAGUGACUUGAUGUUUGGUACUGGGGGCUGGAAUGUUGAGUUAAUUGACAGGUUAUUUUCAAGUGAAGAAGCCGCUUUGAUCACGGCGAUUCUGUUGAGUAGACGACAUGUGGUACACAGAUUGAGUUGGAAACUGUCAAGAGAUGGUAAAUUCAGUUAAGUCUGCCUAUAGGUUUGCUUUUGCUCAUUCUUCGAGCUAUAGUCCCCUGACAUUACCGGUGUGAGCUUCGUUUUGGAAGAAAUUGUGGAAGGCCUCCAUUCCAAACAAGGCUAAGAUCCAUAUCGAUCUGGAGGGUCUGUCUGGAUAUAUUACCCUCUCUAGGGAGUAUGGCUUCGAAGAGAGUAGUAUUGGACCCGGAAGUUUGUGUGCUGUGUGAGAAUCACGGGGAGACGACAACCCAUCUGUGCAGGGACUGUCCCAUUACGAGGGUAGUAGUGCAAUCCAGGGACAUGUUGAAGUAAGGUAUUGCUUGGACAGUUGGAUGAGUUCCAGUGCUAAAGAAUUGUCCUUGAGUAAUGUUGGGGAGCUUUUGUUUCUUUUAUGGCGAGUUUGGAAGGAGAGUAAUGAGAGAGUGUGUAACCAAAAAAGCACUGCUGCUGGUGAUGUUAGUAUCCUUCUUACAUCAAGACUUCAGGAGUUCAGGUUUCAUAAUCUGAAACAAACUCAAUUCCACACUAGCAGAGCUCGAGUAGGUCGGUGGUGUGCACCUGCAGUUGGUUUUUGGAAAAUCAAUGUAGAUGGAUCGUUUAACCAUAUUACGAGGAAGGGUGGCCUUGGUUUUGUGGUUCGUAAUGAAUUUGGUCAUCUGCUGACCGGGGGGGGUCUUAAUGGUCUUAUAUCACCGGAACAUGCUGAAAUCCUUGCUUACAAGAGAGAUGCGGAGUUUGCAGUUGAUCAUGCUCUAAUACCAGCUGUUUUGGAGACUGAUGCUUCGAAAGUGAAGCGGCAACUCACACAGCACACUUCUUCAAACACAUCGGUGUUGGGAAGAAUCUAUGAUGAUGUGGGCAGCUUGUUGGAAUCGUUGACGGGUAUCAGUGUUAGCCGGAGAGGCAAUCUAGUUGCACAUAUGUUAGCAGCACAUGCCUGCACUCUUGGGCAGGAUUCUUUUUAUUUUUCUACUUCCCCUUUUCUUCAAUUUGCUAUUGCAGAAGAGCUUUGUAAUGUUUGAACACUUUUCAUUUCAAUAAAGGGCUGACAUCUUUGAUUCAAAAAAAAAAAAAAACAAAGGUUAAAAUAUGAUAUCAAUGAUUAAGAUGAUGUCAUGUGAUAUGUAAAAUGAAACAUUAAUACAUUGAUGAACUGCUAGAAUUUUCUGCUUUCUAAGAGUUGUAAUUUUUCUCUUUGACCUAGCUCUGUUAGGGUUUACUCGAAGACGGCCGUUUUCGACAAAAUCUCAUUGCCAUGGAUGGUGGUGGAUCUGCAACUAGGUGGGCAGGGCAUUGGUCCCUCUUUUCUGGUUGGCGUGAGGGUAGCCAUGGCGGGGUUCGUCGACCUUUUUCCCUAUCUCUAGGUCUUUGGUUGUUCAUUGCUUUCGCUGUCGUGGUCGCUGGGCUGGGGAUGACUCUUGCAUCAUCUCAGGUUCUAAUUUCUUUUGAUGACAUUUUAGUGUUGGAUUGCUUCGCUCUUGGAAGCGAUGGGGAUCUGAUGGUCUGCUUGACGACAGGGCUGGGAGUUUGAUGUCUACUUCGGAUUUGGGUACAAGACCUAAUGCGGCGAAGGUGUUUGCUUCGAUGGUGGUGUGGCGGUUUGGUGCAGUCCAACCAGAUUUGUGUAUUGGCUUUUUGGUUGGUAGAAUGGUGGACACGGAUGAUGGCGAUCCCGACAUCUAUACGGACGAGGGUUGUCUCUCAGUGGAUGAUGGUGGUGCUUGGUGGCCGAGGGCUCUCUCAAUUCACUUCCCAGAUCACUGUUUGUCUGGUUUUGGAGGCUUGUGGAAGAGUUUCUGUAAUGGCGGAGGUUCUCCAAACGGAAGCUACUACGGCGGCGGUCAAGGUGGAGGCGGCAGCUGGGAGGUAACCUUGAUGGAGGCUUCUAGGGUUUAUGCAACCUUGGAUUGUUGGACUCCAUAUUGGUUAUUGGGCUGGAACUAGACUGGGUUACUUUGGGUCCAAAAGGCCCUUAGGGUUCUUUUCUUUAUUCUCUUUUAUGUUUUAAGUUUAGUCAUCCUUCCUUAUUCUUCAAGGAAUCUAUGACUACUCAUUCGUCAGCCUCUACUGUUGUGGAGGGAUCGGUGGAAUGUGAUGGCUCACAUUCUACCAAUGUUUUAGUUUAAUUUUGUUUUGGGUCACAAAAACCAAUGUCUUAGUUGAAAUCUUUUUAUGUAAGCUUGGAGGUUUCUUGGUUUUGUUAAAAUAAAGGUGCGUAAAUUUACUAAAAGUGGGUAUACUCGGGAUUUUUUGGGGUUUUAUUCUUCUAGAAUAGGGUUUCAUGAGGUUCUUAGGAACGAUUCUUUCUCUUUACCCCAAAGAGAUGUUUCGUUUUAGUACUGCUUGCUGAAUUAUAAUGAAAGGGCUGACCUAUUUCCAUCAAAAGAAAGAAAUUUCUGCUUUCGAAACUCCAUUAUGCUAAGAAAAUUAGAUGAAGUAGGUCUUAUAUUUUAAUGUCUGGGCCUCAAAUUUGUAGGAUAUUUUUGUAGGCCUCGGAUUUCAAUAUGGGGUUUGAAACUCAAUUUUGAUGGACUUUUAUUCCAAAUAAAAGAGAAUAAUUUUGGUGAAUCCGAAUAAAUUUGGAUCCGGCUCACUUUGGUUCCAAAAUUGGAUAGCUUUCAUAUUUUGUUUAUUAUUAGCCGUUGAUGCAUACCAACAAUCAAUGAAAGCCGUUGGAUCUGAGUCGAAAGUGAAAAAACCCGAAGAGGGUCACUUAUAGGCCCUCAUUCCCGAAAGUCCGAAACAGCCUCUUUGGCCCUCUCUCUUUCACGACGCCACUCUCUCAGUCUCUCUUUCUCUCAAAACCCAGCCCCAAUUUGUUGAUUCCACGAUGCAAACCUCACCAACAUAAAUUAUAACCCAUAUAUCGUUUGAUUUUCGAAAUCCCCAAAUUUUUCGAAAACCCUAGAAUCCUAGAUCAGUUGCUUCACUUGCUUGGUUCUAGUAGUGGUUCAGACUUCAGAGCAGUGUUCUAAAAAACGUUUAAGGGCUAGGAGACCAGGAAAAUCGUUUUGCAGUUAGGCGGGCCACCAGGCUGUCUGGGGGGCGCCUAGACGAUUUGCGCGGGCUGGGCGGUGGGCGGACUGACGUAAAUUAUACCCACAUCUCUCUCACCACUUACAACUUCAGCUCCACUAACCUCUCCUCCUCCUCUGAAUCGCAGCAAGCCACCUCCACGUACACUCAUCCGGAUCGUUACGCCGGUAAGGGGCCAUUUGAAGAAAACUGCAACUGCUAUGGAACAGAUGCAAGUGGAUGUGCAGAAAGCCACACUUGCUGAGCAGGCUAUCGAGGAGCACAUGAAGAAAAUGGCAUUUUCUGGUCAGGCUACGGAGGAGCAAAUGAAGAAAAUGCAGGAUUCAGUCAGCAUAACCUCCGGCAGCUGUAACAACCACAAUUUGGACUCUAUCAUGUUCGAUAAUCCUGUUCUUCAAUAGUUCAACCUCAGUUUCAAGUCCAACUGUAGCCCGAAUCAGAGGUAGAUUAUCAAGUUUUUUUUUCCUGCAAAUGGAAGCGUCAUGUGCUUACUCUCAAGCGAAGACAGAGGAUCAAACUUUUUUCCUGUAAAUCUUAAAGACGGAAUCCUCUUGUAUAUCUUUAAAUUGCAGUUCUCUAUAUUGGUGACUGAAUCCUGCAUUUUCUGCUCAGGCUAUGGAGGAGCAAAUGAAGAAAAUGCAGGAUUCAGUCACCAAUAUAGAGAACUGCAAUUUAAAGAUAUUCAAGAGGAUUCCGUCUUUAAGAUUUACAGGAAAAAAGUUUGAUCCUCUGUCUUGACUUGAGAGUGAGUACAUGAUGCUUCCAUUUGCAGGAAAAAAAACUUGAUAAUCUACCUCUGAUUCGGGCUACAGUUGGACUUGAAACUGAGGUUGAACUAUUGAAGAACAGGAUUAUCGAACAUGAUAGUCCCAAUUGUGGUUGUUACAGCUGCUGGAGGUUAUGGUAAAACCCUCCUUGCCUUAACAUUAAGCCAAGAUAAAGAAGUGAGAGAUACGGUCCGCAACAAUAUCAUCUUUAUCAGUUUUCCAAAGAAGGGAAAUUUGCAGUGUAUCGUACAACGAUUGUGUAAACACAAAGGUAUUCCCUUUCCUGAAUGUGGAGAAGAAUUACCAGAUUUACAGGUAGUUCAGUUCCUGGCAUAAUUUCUCAAGAAAGUAUGGACGCAGCCUCUGCUUGUGAUUAUUGAUGAUAUUCGUAGGGGAUCUGAAUCUGUUCUGGAUUGGUUUGAUUUUAUACCAGGAUCAGGACACCGCAAGAUUUUGGUGACGUCAAGAUUCGAAAUUCCAAGAUUUGGUAUUCCCUUUCAUCUAUAUGGGUUGUCUGAGGACGAAGCUAUGGCACUGCUCUGUCAUUCAGCAGGCUUGGCAUACUUUGAUAAGGAAGACAGAAACAAAUCUCGUAUGCGUGAAGGCAUGACCGAGUUCACAACAGAAGCCCGGCAGAUAGUAAGCCAUUGUUCCGGAUCUCCCCUUGCCAUAACAGUGGUGGGGAAAUCGCUUUGUGGGAAACCUGCACACGUUUGGAGAAGGAAAGCAUUCGAAUUGGAUUAUCAUAAUACUAUUUUAGACACUGACAUUACUUUGUUGUCGUGCCUCCAAAGUACUUUUGAAGACAUGGAUAAAGAACUCCAAGCUGCAUACUUGGACCUUGCCGUACUCCCAAAUAAAUUUUUGGACUGUCUUGGUACUGCAGUUGAUGUAUGGGCAGAGUUGCAGAGUCAUCUGCUUGAUAAUGUCCUUUUCUGCACUACAACUUUCCACGAACUGAGCGCCUGGCAUUUGGUAUUUCUUCAAUACUCUUCGGAUAAAAGGUUCUUUCAGAAUGAGAGAAUAGAUGAUUACUGGUUCCGUCAUGUUCGACUUGUUCAGAGAGUAUGCUUGCUGCCUAGCCAGUUUGGAUCCAAUAGAAGAGAGACAGAGAUUGAUUUUAGAAGUAUUUGGAAAAAAUAUUCCCAAGUGGUUGAGAGAACUGAAGGAUCAGCCAUUGAAGGCGCAGCUACUGUCUAUCUCAACAGGAAUGUUGUGUGUGGCAAAUAAUAGUACUAUAAUUCACAUUUAAUUUCUCCCCACGCACUCACAUUAAAUACCGGUGUGGUUUGCAGGUGAAGCUUCCUCAAGUGAGUGGCCGGACUUGAAUCUACCAGAAGUAAAGGUUUUAGCUUUACAUAUCGGGGCCCAUGUCUAUCACUUACCUAGAUUUGUUGAGAAGAUGCAUAAGUUAGGGGUUUUGGCAGUUGAUGCUGAAAUACUUCAGUUUCUUGAGGGAGAGCAGAUACAAUUUUCUGAUUUUGAACUACUUGCUGGGUUAUCAAAUUUGCAGAGAAUCAGAUUAGAGAACCUCUCAAUCAAUCUCAAGGGGAGCAAGCCCAGGCAAUUGAGAAGUGUGAAGAAGCUAGACAUUAAGAGCUGCAGCUUCAUGAGUGAUGAUGAUCUACCUUUGGAACUGUGUGAUAUGUUUCCAAACUUGGUGCUACUCACCAUUACUAACUGCUUUGUCUCUAUUGCUGAUCUGAAUCAUCUAAGAAGCCUUUCUCUCAUAGACUGCUGUCCCAUGAAGUUGGCUUGAAUAUAUUGGUGAUUUAGUCAACUUAGAAAUACUGAAGAUUGCAUCUCCAAUGAACAAGUUGCCACAUACAGUUACUAACCUAAAGAAGUUAGGUACUCUUGACUUAUCUGAUUAAAGAGUUGCCUGCAGAUAUUGCUGAUUUGAGCAGCUUGAGGAGGCUUGCCUUGAGAGGAUGCAGGAGUUUGACACAGAUUCCUCCUUCUGUUAUUGAUCUCCAUCAUUUAGAGGAGUUGAUAAGUAAUGCACAGUCAAAGAAGUUAUGGGAACCCUAUCUCUCCUCUCUGGGAAAAGUUCUCCGGGUAGAAGACGAAGAGUACAUUGGGUUGGAAAAGCACUACGACAUAAAAGAAUGGUGGGAACAAGCCCAGGAGGAGCCCCUUGAUUCUUGGGAAGAAGCCAAGGAGAAGCCCCUUGAUUCUUGAUUCUCGGAGGCAUUGAUUCUUCUCCAUCAGUCAUUCAGUUUGUGUAUUCUGGUGCAGCCUUGGGAGCAGGCACUUUUUGGAACUCUGGGUUUUUUUGUAGGCAAAUAUCAACUCCAAAGACCUGAAAGAGGCAUUGAUUCUUCGACAUCAGUCGUUCAGUUUGUGUAUUCUGGUACAGGCUUGGGGAGCACACUUUCUGGAUUUUUUUUUUUUUUUUGAUGUAGGCAAAUAUCAAUAACAAAGACCUGAAAGAGGCAUUUAAGAUUGAGAAUUGAUCUAUACAUUGGCUGAUUGGCAAGGGAAUGAGCUAACGGAAUCAUUGUUAUGA
RNA transcript from Rosa chinensis, 8833 nucleotides. It is a transcript of the gene named probable disease resistance protein At5g66900, with no coding region annotated. The record is from RefSeq and is a predicted model, not a curated record. The transcript has 10 exons. NCBI's taxonomy places the organism in Eukaryota, Viridiplantae, Streptophyta, Magnoliopsida, Rosales, Rosaceae.